This 527-nucleotide ribosomal RNA is filed under the name uncultured Glomeromycotina. Its description in RNAcentral is "SSU rRNA". It matches the Rfam family "Eukaryotic small subunit ribosomal RNA", at positions 548 to 1079 of the family's 1831-position model. The record is from RNAcentral. Lineage: Eukaryota; Fungi; Glomeromycota.
UUGGAGGGCAAGUCUGGUGCCAGCAGCCGCGGUAAUUCCAGCUCCAAUAGCGUAUAUUAAAGUUGUUGCAGUUAAAAAGCUCGUAGUUGAAUUUCGGGGUCAGUAGGUUGGUCAUGCCACUGGUAUGUACUGGUCUCACUGAUUCCUCCUUCCUGAUGAACUGUAAUGCCAUUAAUUUGGUGUUGCAGGGAAUCUGGACUGUUACUUUGAAAAAUUAGAGUGUUUAAAGCAGGCUCACGCUUGAAUACAUUAGCAUGGAAUAAUGAAAUAGGACGUUUGAUUCUAUUUUGUUGGUUUCUAGGAUCGACGUAAUGAUUAAUAGGGAUAGUUGGGGGCAUUAGUAUUCAAUUGUCAGAGGUGAAAUUCUUGGAUUUAUUGAAGACUAACUACUGCGAAAGCAUUUGCCAAGGAUGUUUUCAUUAAUCAAGAACGAAAGUUAGGGGAUCGAAGACGAUCAGAUACCGUCGUAGUCUUAACCAUAAACUAUGCCGACUAGGGGAUCGGGAUGAUGUUAAUUUUUAAUGACU